This 572-nucleotide long non-coding RNA is filed under the name Panax ginseng (ginseng). Its description in RNAcentral is "long non-coding RNA (PGIN_LNC009577)". The record is from RNAcentral. Lineage: Eukaryota; Viridiplantae; Streptophyta; Magnoliopsida; Apiales; Araliaceae.
ACCGAAUCAAUUAUAUUACAAGAUUUAGUUAACAGGAAAGAGAUUCCUUAAAAGGAGAGACAAACCCUCCUAUACCGAAUCAAAAUCACAAAAUAAACCAAAAGGGAUGAGUAUAUUGCCAAUCACCGGUAAUUCACCAAUUAGGAACACAGUACCAAUACAUUGACGCGAAUAAAGCAAAGAAAUGUAACCAAAGCUCACUAAUUGUACAACAUAAACUUAAAUUUAUAUGUCCAUCAAACCACCAUUAGAGAGUCCUGAUCUUCAACAAGGCCAGACUUAACAGAAACCAGAUCAUUAAACAAAAAAAAAAAUACUUCAAAAUAUUAGUAAAGGUUUCAGAUCGAAACACAUAAGCUUAUAUAGGUAUCAGAAUAACAAAAUGAGGAUGUCUUUUCUGUAUAUGUAUGCGUAUAUAUAUGUGCAGAGAAAAAGAGAAUCUUGUCUUACCAGAAGCAGGCGGAAACGCGACCAGGCUAUCGAAGAAGAAGUGCGAAACUUUGGCGAGGAGGGAAGUAAACGCUUGAGAUAAAAUUUAUGGAAAAAGAUAUAUAUAAGUUUAUAGUUUUUAG